This 253-nucleotide ribosomal RNA is filed under the name uncultured bacterium. RNAcentral describes it as "partial 16S ribosomal RNA". It matches the Rfam family "Bacterial small subunit ribosomal RNA", at positions 524 to 776 of the family's 1533-position model. The record is from RNAcentral.
UACGGGGGGGGUAAGCGUUGUUCGGAAUUACUGGGCGUAAAGGGCUCGUAGGCGGCCAACUAAGUCAGACGUGAAAUCCCAAGGCUUAACCUUGGAACUGCGUCGGAUACUGGAUGGCUUGAAUUCGGGAGAGGGAUGCAGAAUUCCAGGUGUAGCGGUGAAAUGCGUAGAUAUCUGGAGGAACACCGGUUGCGAAGGCGACGCCCUGGACCGGCAUUGACGCUGAGGCGCGAAAGCCAGGGGAGCAAACGGG